Struthio camelus australis is the source of this 1927-nucleotide non-coding RNA. Lineage: Eukaryota; Metazoa; Chordata; Aves; Struthioniformes; Struthionidae. The record is from RefSeq and is a predicted model, not a curated record.
UCCGGACCGUUCCUUCUUCAGUGGGGACCUUUGUCGUCGCAUUCAGAGUAUUGCGGGGAGUCUAGAUCUGGUUUAAAAAGCUCUGACAGGAGGAGGGGUUUUUUUUUUCUUUCCUCCAAAAAAUGCUAUGUUGUUGCGAGGGAAAUGUCUUCAGGGGCGUCGAUCCUUUUUACUUGAAAAUAUGUUUUGCUUUCUUAAAGUUGGUAAUGUCAAGACGUUUAGAGCCAGUAAGAUGAAGGAGUGUUAUUUUGGCCCUUCUUUUACAUUAAGAAGUUAAUUUAUUGUGAUGUGUUAUUAUGAUUAAUAACAUCAUGUCUACAAUGUUAGUUCUGCUUUUAUAUCGGGCUUAAUAAACUCAAAAGGGAAAAAUGUAAAUGUCAGAGUGAAGCAGUCCAAUCUUAGCUAAAAAUACCUAAUGCUUUUCAACAAAGGUUUCAAAGUUAAGGUGUUCAAAAAAAGCAGGAAUUUUCACCCACUGUACGUGCAAAUCCACCUGUAUUCUUUUUUUGAUAAGAUAAAAUGAUUAAACUCAUUAAGAUAUUGUCCACAGGUUUAGUUCCCUGAUUACAUUUAUAGCUUCUGCUUCAGGAAAACAAAAUAAUUCUAUGUGUGUAUAUAUAGCCUUAUAGCAUAAUAAAUAUACUUAGUAAUGUUUUUAAGCAUCAUUUUAUUGGUAAAGAGCUGCACAGUCUUUAUUGAUGUAGUUAGUACAAUAAAAUUUUGUAACACAGGCUAAUAAAGAAGCUCUAUGUGAGCAGCAUAACCCCAUAAAGGCAUUUCUACCAAAUCACUCAUUCUCUACUACUAAUUCUCACCCACAGUAGGAUGUUGCCCUCACAGCUGAGCAAGCAAAACAGUUUGUGGGACCAUACACCGAGCCAGGUCAAGGAGCUGAUUCAGCUGAAAUACAACCCAAUAGAAAAGGAAAGUUGCUUAAUUUGCUCGGUAGUUGCCUGGCAAACCUGUUCAACGGGCCAGAAGGCAUGAAACUGUAAAAAAAUGAUCGUUGGGACUAAGCAUGGAUGAAAAGUCUUGAAUGUGAUGUAGAAAUAUCUUUACCAUUGAAGACAGUACAAUUUGGGAUAAGGACCCGGCACAUGCAAGAACUGGCACAUGGAGUAUAAUCGCCAGGGAGCUCUGUUCAACAGCGCAGUGUUAAACUAAGUCCAAAUGAAACAUUUGCCUUUGAUGUGACAAACUGAAAUACAAUGUGUCUCUCCACAAAUGUCAAAAUGUUUCAUACUACUUGAAAAUAGUUAAAGGAAACAUUCAGGAAUGCAUCAAGCACUUUCGUAUACUAUGAUGCUUAAAAUAUAUUUCUAUUUAGUCACUUUUGUUUCUGAACGCAAUAAAAAUAAUCACAUCAGGUUGUGUGUCAGAUCACAAGGUUACAAUGUGAGCACUUAGAUUAUAAGUAACAAACUAACACACAGGAUUCCCCCUGAAUUCUCAAAAUACUCAUUUUGCAGGCGAAGCUUAUAGACUUUAAUUUCAAUAAGAUACAUUGUAUCCUUUGAAUGCAAUGAAUAAAUUGAAUCCCUGAUUUAAAUCCAAAACUAAUUUAAUUUUAAAUGAGUCAUAAAGUCCUGAUCAGUGUCUGUAUAUGUUCCAUUCAUACUAAUUAAGUGCCAUGUGGCCCUUGAAUUUCUUGACAUUUGCUUCUACUUUUAGUUAGGCAAAGAUAGACUCCUCCUCUAUAACCACCACUGAAAAGACUUUUAUUACAAUUUAAUGUAUGGCUUUCUUCUCAGUUUUUUUAUUUAUUUACUUAUCAUCUCGUCUUUGGAUCUUCUGGAAUUCACUGCAUAGCAUUACUAAAAUGUGAUACUUCCUCUACAGUUAGUUAAUAAAUAUUUUAGAUUAUAUUUGUUGAGUUUCAUGAGAAAAAGGUCAGUCAUCAUUUGGAUUCCUCACUGAAAUGCCGCAC